CAAAGAGAAUGAAAAUACAUAGUAACACAGAGCCAUGAGAAACCUGUGAUGUCUGAUUCUGAUCACGCACUGAUGAAAGCGUAAAGUUGAAAUGAGCUGCCCAGGUUCAUGCUGCAGGCUUCGGCUGUGGAGUGGAAGCUGGAUGUUUGUUAUAGACAAGUAGGCUCCAUGUGC
This 174-nucleotide long non-coding RNA is filed under the name Anser brachyrhynchus (Pink-footed goose). Its description in RNAcentral is "lncRNA (ENSABRG00000001031.1)". Lineage: Eukaryota; Metazoa; Chordata; Aves; Anseriformes; Anatidae. The record is from RNAcentral.